GACGAACGCUGGCGGCGCGCUUAACACAUGCAAGUCGAGCGAUGAAAUUUCGACAGAUCCCUUCGGGGUGAAGAUGAAAUGGAUUAGCGGCGGACGGGUGAGUAACACGUGAGUAACCUGCCUUUGACAUUGGGAUAGCCUCGGGAAACUGGGAUUAAUACCAAAUGACACUAACUGAUCACAUGAUCAAUUAGUCAAAGAAAUUCGGUCAAAGAUGGACUCGCGGCUGAUUAGCUAGUUGGUGAGGUAACGGCCCACCAAGGCGACGAUCAGUAGCCGGCCUGGAGGGGUGGACGGCCACAUUGGAACUGAGCCCCGUUCCAAACUCCCCCGGGGGGCAGCAGGGGGGAAUUUUGCACAAGGGGGGAAACCCUGAUGCAGCGACGCCGGGGGGGAGAAGAAGGCCUUCGGGUCGUAAAGCUUUUUUUUGGGGGAAGAUAAGGGCGGUACCUAAAGAAAAAGCCCCGGUUACAUACGU
RNAcentral lists this ribosomal RNA (478 nucleotides) under uncultured bacterium. RNAcentral describes it as "partial 16S ribosomal RNA". It matches the Rfam family "Bacterial small subunit ribosomal RNA", at positions 28 to 506 of the family's 1533-position model. The record is from RNAcentral.